GGAUGGGAUCCGAAGCCCUAGUGAGGGAUAAUACAGGCUCUCCCAUCCAACUCCUAUUCCGACACGUCN
RNAcentral lists this ribozyme (69 nucleotides) under Anopheles gambiae (African malaria mosquito). RNAcentral describes it as "drz-agam-2-2 ribozyme". It matches the Rfam family "drz-agam-2-2 ribozyme", at positions 23 to 89 of the family's 191-position model. Lineage: Eukaryota; Metazoa; Arthropoda; Insecta; Diptera; Culicidae. The record is from Rfam by way of RNAcentral.